CCUACGGGAGGCAGCAGUGAGGAAUAUUGGUCAAUGGGCUUACGCCUGAACCAGCCAAGUCGCGUGAGGGAAGACUGCCCUAUGGGUUGUAAACCUCUUUUGUCAGGGAGCAACGCCGGCUACGUGUAGCCGGACUGAGAGUACCUGAAGAAAAAGCAUCGGCUAACUCCGUGCCAGCAGCCGCGGUAAUACGGAGGAUGCGAGCGUUAUCCGGAUUUAUUGGGUUUAAAGGGUGCGUAGGCGGAAUGCCAAGUCAGCGGUAAAAUCGCGGGGCUCAACCUCGCUCCGCCGUUGAAACUGGCGUUCUUGAGUGGGCGAGAAGUAUGCGGAAUGCGUGGUGUAGCGGUGAAAUGCAUAGAUAUCACGAAGAACUCCGAUUGCGAAGGCAGCAUACCGGCGCCCGACUGACGCUGAGGCACGAAAGCGUGGGGAUCGAACAGGAUUAGAUACCCCGGUAGUC
Molecule: ribosomal RNA, 460 nt
Filed under: uncultured bacterium
Lineage: Bacteria
Description: partial 16S ribosomal RNA
Rfam family: Bacterial small subunit ribosomal RNA
Source: RNAcentral